This is a long non-coding RNA of Pipistrellus kuhlii (Kuhl's pipistrelle), 2168 nucleotides long. RefSeq lists it as uncharacterized. The transcript has 3 exons. NCBI's taxonomy places the organism in Eukaryota, Metazoa, Chordata, Mammalia, Chiroptera, Vespertilionidae. The record is from RefSeq and is a predicted model, not a curated record.
CCCACAACCCGGGCCUAUGUCCACAACCAGAAUCAAACCCAGGACCCCUCAGUCCACAUGCUCUUAUCACUGAGCCAAACCAGCCAGGUCUAGAAUAGUAUUGUAAUAGUCCAGGUAACACUGACUUGUGAAUUAAGUGCCCAAAAAGUAACUGUUGAAUGGCACUGCAAUAUAGAGGAAUGAGAGGAGUUUCCAAAAAAGAGGCAGUCCCACAACAGUAAAUAUUGAUAAAAUGGCAGCUUCAAGGGAGGUAAGUGAUAGCAAACGGGUUUAAUCAGUGUAUUAAAUAUCUCCAACUCCUUUUCCAGUCACAGAGUAUAUAAAAAGUGGGGCCAAUGAAAUGGGCAAAUGAAGAAUUUGGGGGAGAAUGGAUGGGAAGUUUGGAUAUAACUAAACAGGAAAAGAAAAAAGACCUAAGAUAAAAGUUACUAGAAAAGAGUAAGAUCAAGAACAUAGAUUCAGCUUGCUAAAGAUGAAAGUUUGCUAAUAUGUAAAUAAACACUCAAAACAUUUCUGGUGGUAAUUGGAAAUUGUAAAAAAAUAUUAGUACUAAUGAGAUAUGAAACAAAAGUAAUAUUCUAUUUUUAAAAUUUUUAUGAUGAAUUUUAAAGACAUUUUUGGAAAAUAAAUUGGUACAACAUCUAGAGAGAGCAUUCUGGUACUUUUAUUAGAAUCACAAUAGCCUGGCCAGAGUGACUCGGUUGGUUGAGUGUGCUGUGCACCAAAAACUGCUGGUUCAAUUCCUGGUCUACAUACCUGAGCCGCAGGUUUGGGAUCAGGGGACUAUGGAAGGUAACUGAUCAAUGUUUCAUGGUGAGGACUUAAGAAUUUUAAAUCACAAUGCAUUUAAUCUUUGCCCUAACUACUCUCUAGGAGUUUAUCCUACAGGCCAAGUAGGGAAACUGGACUUUUCACCCCACCAGACAAUGAUAAAUACCCCUACCCCUGUGGUGACAGGAGCCUAGACUUCCAUCUCCAAUAGCAGUGAUGAAGUACCUCCCCCCCUCUGAUAGGGUAUUUCAGAAAAAGCCUGGUGGAGUCAGGACUUUGACCAUGGCCUAGAAUGAUGGGGUAGUAGUGAGGCAGUGCCCCUCCCCUCAAUCUGCUCAAGUGGUGUCAAAAAGCCAGCUGACAGAGGUUUAAAUAAUAUCCAGUCUCAACAAAAAUGUCCACAUUUCAAUAGAAAAUGGCUUGUCAGUCCAGUUCUGAAGGCCCUAAAACCAGGAGUGCUGAAGGCAGAAGAUCCACAUCCCACCUCAACAGUCAGGCAGGAAUUCAACCUUCCUCUUUUUUGUUCUAUUCAGGCCCUCAACAAAUUGGCUGAUGCUCACCCACUACUUUCUCCAAUCUAUCAAUUCAAAUUUUAAUAUUUUCUAGAAAUAUCCUCAGAUGCACACCCAGAAAUAAUGUUUAGCUACCUAUCCCUUAGCCCAGUCAAGUAGACAUACGACUAACCAUCACAACAACCGUGAUAAGUACGUUUCAAGGAAUACACUGAAAAAUAAAUGAAUAGCCUCAAGCAAAGAAUAUAGAACAUCUUAGAAAAGAAAUAGAAGAUAAAAGAAGAGCCACAUGGACAUUUUAGAACUAAAAAAUAAAAUAACAAAAUAAAAAGCUCAUGGAUUGGCCCAACAGUAGAAUGGCAGGAGGCGUCAGAGGAAUCAGUAAACUAAAAGACCAAUAGAAAUAACCUGAUUUGAACAGACUUAAAAAUAAAUAGAACCUCAGAAAACUGGGACGAAAAAAGGGUAGUAUUUGAAAUAAUGGCUGCACUCUUUCCAAAUUUGGCCAUAGACGUAAAACUAAAAAGGCAAGAAGCCAAGGAAAACAAGGAAUCUAUGCAAAUAUAUAAAAUCAUUGAAUUUAUAAAAACUAAAGACAAAAGAACAGUGAAAGCAACCAGAGAAAAGUGACACUUUACCUACCAGGAAAAACUAUUAGAAUAAUAGGUUUAAAAAAAAAAAAAUCAGAAACCAGGAGAAGUAGCAUAAUAUUCCCAAGUAUUGAAAGAAAAAAAUUGUUAACCCAGAAUUCUAUACUCAGUGAAAAUAUCCUUCAGGAAUGAAGAAGAAAUCAAGACAUUCUCAGAUGUAAGAAUUUUACAGCAGCAAACUUAACCUUAAAAGAAUGGUUAAGCAAAACUGAAAGGUCCCAGGUUCGAUUCCGGU